This 219-nucleotide long non-coding RNA is filed under the name Capsicum annuum. RNAcentral's name for it is "long non-coding RNA (CANN_LNC019121)". The record is from RNAcentral. Lineage: Eukaryota; Viridiplantae; Streptophyta; Magnoliopsida; Solanales; Solanaceae.
AAAUAGUGACUUUGACACUUCAAAUAAAAAUCUGAAGCCCACAUCUCCUUUCUUAUGUCGGCACAUCUUCAACCAAGAUGGCCAGCCAACGUUUACUUUUGCCCUCUUGUUGUUCCAAACAAAUCUUGCAAAAAAUCUAUGAAUUUCAUUGAUGGUGGAUUUAGUGGAGGCAAUUGUAGAUAGGAGAUAUCAUGGCAUACUAAGAACACUAUUUAUCAG